Molecule: long non-coding RNA, 2727 nt
Organism: Arvicola amphibius (Eurasian water vole)
Lineage: Eukaryota; Metazoa; Chordata; Mammalia; Rodentia; Cricetidae
Exons: 2
Source: RefSeq, a predicted model, not a curated record
AGGGCUAAAGAGUACAAUCAGACGAGUGAAAGAAACCUGGAAACCAUGUGACUCAGGAUGGAGAGCAACGCAAUCAAAUCCCUUAAAUAAAAAUUUAUUUACAAUAAAUAAUUUUGUCUAGUUUUAUACAUUAAACUAAAAGAAAACCCUUUACACAGUUUAUAGGAAGUCAGCAUGUAUUUUUGGCUCGAAGUUUCUCUAGUGUUUUCUGCAGAAGGAAUGAAAAUUAAUUAAGUUUUGUUUGAAUUUUGUUUGCUUUUUAGAGGGAAAAACUGGCCCCUGCUCACCUUAUGAAAUUCUUUUGCCCUUGCUCUAUUUUGGGCACAGACUUCUUGCUUUGCUUUUUCUUCUCUUUGCUGUUUUACCUCAGCUAACUGCCUGUAUAAUCUGUAAGAAAUAUACAUGGGAUUAAAUGGGCAUUAAUGGCUAAAUACUACAAGUAAAUAACAAUGCACAUAUACCUUAGUGCCCUCUGGUGUAUGAGGGCUUGUGUGGUCCUUCUCUCUUCAGGAAGAGGUGCUCUGACUUUACUAACACCCUUCCGGCGGGUCAGGGAAAAACCUAAGAUAAAGGAUUUCUUUAGGUUCCUAAUCUUCAUGUUUUGCUUAAAAAAAAAAAAAAAAAAGGAAACAUACCUGUUGUGAGUUGCGUUUUAUUCCGCAUUUCUCUCUGCCUCUGGUAGGAUCGCUCCACAAAUGUCUUUUUUCUUUUCAUUGUGACUGCAAUUUUUUUUUAAAAAAAAAAGGCAUCAUUAGCGAUUAUUUGGCUAGGCAGUGGUGGUGCUUUGAAGCAGAGGCAGGCAAAUCUAUGAGUUCAAGGCCAGCCUGGACUAGACAGAGAAACUGGCUCAAAAGAAAGAAAAACAUUAGGGGCUGAUAAGAUACAAGACUUACCUGAAGGUGCCACUUGGGGUUGAUCCAUACAAGACUCUAAUACAGCUCCAUAAACAGAGGUUUCUGUUGAAGAUGCACCUGCCUGAUUUUGAGAAGGUGACUUUGUUUCACUGUGUUUCCAGGCUUUGCUAGCAUUAAACCAAAUCUUGAGCCCCAUUUUCCUUUGCAGACAAGGUACCAUUGGGCAAAGUUGCUGCUAGCACCAACUCCUCUAUAACUUAACCUGUUUCUUUAAGGUAGAAAACGUGCUGCUUGACUGAGGGAUUCUAUAAUUACAAGACUUUGUCCUUAGCCCUGUGGAGGACUUGCUUGUGGCGUCUAUAAUUCAUUUACCUGGGCACAGCUCUGUGCUUCACUGCCUCUCUCUUCAAGGGUUAAGGUAGCAAGAUCUGUUUCAGCAGUGCUGAUGUCACUGGCGCUUACGAGAGUGAGAUCUGGCUCUUCCAUUAUACCAUAGCCAGAUUCUGUUUCCUGUUCAACAGUUCAAAGAGAAAGCAUGUCUUAUGUUUUGGUCAAUACAGUAUUUUUCUGUCCUGAAACCUGCUCUGUAAUCUACCUGCCUCUGCACCACCUGGUUAGAUAAUAUUUGUAUAAAAACUCAGGACAUAUGGGAGGAGCAGUGUGGAAGAACUGGGUGUCCUUAGUCUGGCUUUGAAUUCAGACCCUGCCCAUCUCUGCCUUCCUAGCAUAAAGUAAGCUUGUUGACUGUAAAGUUGGAAAUCUAACAAACUGAACCAAACUUGCAUUGGUGUUUUCAAUUCUGCUGGAAAGAUUUCUCAGAAAGAGGGUGCUAUUUUACAAAGCACACUUACCCAGACAGGAAUAGAGCUCGGAAAUGAAUUCAUAAUGUGCUCUGCUUCCAAAAGCUGAGGUGGGUUUGUGGUUUCAGUUUUAAAUCUGUUCUGAAUAGACAUUUCACUUUCAACACUCAAUGAAUGAGACCCCUCGGGAUUUUCUGCAGGUGGAUUUAUAAUAGUUUCAUUCUUAUCUUGAGUGAGCCUUUGGCUUUGUGGCACUGUAACCAUUUUUCUUGACUGUUCCUCAAAGCCCAGCAUAGAGGUAGAAGAACCCGGAGAGCUCCGCAGCAGGUGAUUAAAUACAGUGGAACUAUUGGGAGAACUGCAGACUGGACUCAGGUUCUCUGUUGAGGACUGAAAAUAAACACUUUUUUUCGUAUUUUGUAGUAUUUCUGUCUGUUCAGAAUAGUCAUGGUUUUCCGUGCCUUGGGAGGCAACUCUUGCUUCGAUGCUGUAAAUACUUGGUAGAUCAGCAUGUUGGCUUUCCUGUGAAGAGAAUUCUGGUAGAAGCUGCUUGAAAGAUUGUUCAGAUCCUGCAGUAAAAAAAAGUUCACAAAGUCAGCAUAAAUACUAGAUAGAGAAACUCACAUUUUAAGUAUAUAUUAUUACAUAAUUACAUUAUUUAAUAAACAGAUCCUCAAAAAGAGGAAAGUCUUGGGCUUUCACGUACCUUCAGCAGCAAAACUCUGUGUUGCAGCAUGAGCUAGGCUAAUGUCAGGCUGCUCUGAAUUGGCCCUAAAUGCUGUGGAACAAGCUGUGCUUCUGGAGGAUUCCUUAACAUCGUGUUUCUUAGGUGAAGAUUCAGAGCUCUGCUGAAAACAAAGACUGAAAUACUGACUCUGUAUUAUAACAACCCAUACCCUGCCCGGAAUGAUCUAGUUGCUGUGAGAUAAUUAACCACUUCCUCUGAUUUCUGUAAACCUACUUAAUGCUGAGUGUGGGUGCUGGGAUGGUGAAGGGGAACAGCACAAAGGUGAAGGGGAGCUACAAAAUCUACAAAAACAGUACUAAUAAAUCCUAUCAUUUGUGUUGUCAAA